RNAcentral lists this ribosomal RNA (254 nucleotides) under uncultured bacterium. RNAcentral describes it as "partial 16S ribosomal RNA". It matches the Rfam family "Bacterial small subunit ribosomal RNA", at positions 524 to 776 of the family's 1533-position model. The record is from RNAcentral.
UACGUAGGGGGCAAGCGUUGUCCGGAUUUAUUGGGCGUAAAGAGCUCGUAGGCGGUGUGUCGCGUCGGCCGUGAAAACCUGCAGCUUAACUGUGGGCGUGCGGUCGAUACGGGCAUCACUGGAGUUCGGCAGGGGAGACUGGAAUUCCUGGUGUAGCGGUGAAAUGCGCAGAUAUCAGGGGGAACACCAGUGGCGAAGGCGACUCUCUGGACUGUAACUGACGCUGAGGCUCGAAAGCGUGGGGAGCAAACAGG